GACGUAGGGGGCCAGCGUUGUCCGGAUUUACUGGGCGUAAAGAGCGCGCAGGCGGUCGUUCAAGUCGAGUGUGAAAGCCCCCGGCUCAACUGGGGAGGGUCACUCGAUACUGAUCGACUUGAAGGCAGGAGAGGGAAGCGGAAUUCCCGGUGUAGUGGUGAAAUGCGUAGAUAUCGGGAGGAACACCAGUGGCGAAGGCGGCUUCCUGGCCUGUUCUUGACGCUGAGGCGCGAAAGCUAGGGGAGCAAACGGG
This 253-nucleotide ribosomal RNA is filed under the name uncultured bacterium. Its description in RNAcentral is "partial 16S ribosomal RNA". It matches the Rfam family "Bacterial small subunit ribosomal RNA", at positions 524 to 776 of the family's 1533-position model. The record is from RNAcentral.